AUGGCAGGAAAUAUAAACAGUGAUGAAGCACGUGUCCGGUCCCAGGUGCAGCUGGUGGAGUCCGGAGGGGAUGUGAAAAAGCCCGGAGACUCUCUCCGCCUCUCCUGCAAAGUCUGCGGGUUCACCUUCAGCAGCUACGCCUCCGGCUUCACCUUCGGUGACUACUGGAUGAGCUGGGUCCGCCAGGCUCCCGGGAAGGGCCUGGAAUGGGUCGCAAGUAUAAGCUAUUGGGCAGGCAGUGCUAUACAUUACGCCAACGCGGUCAAAGGCCGAUUCACCAUCUCCAGAGACAACUCCAACAACCUGCUGUAUCUGCAAAUGACCGGCCUGAAGCCCGAGGACACCGCCCGCUAUUACUGUGCGAGAGACACAGUGAGGGGAAGCCGGGCUGAGCUCUGA
Gopherus evgoodei (Goodes thornscrub tortoise) is the source of this 399-nucleotide non-coding RNA. NCBI's taxonomy places the organism in Eukaryota, Metazoa, Chordata, Testudines, Testudinidae. The record is from the annotation of a RefSeq genome assembly.